GAAAAUGACAAGCUUUAAAAAAUGAUGUAAUAGUUUACAUAGUAUUUACAUAGUAAACUAUUACAUCAUUUUUUAAACCUUAAACUUCAUUAAACUUUAAAAUUCAUUAUUUUAACUUUAAACUAAACUUUAGAAUUCAUUAUUUUCUCCAGAAAAAGUGAUGGAAACAAUUUUGAUAAAUUAGUAAACUUAACUGUUGUAGAGAAUUAUACAUUUAUUCAAAUAAUCCUGGUUGACAAAUCUCAAACAUAAAAUAUUUAUAUCUGUAAGACUUAGAAAUGUGAUAGUGGAGAAACCCAAAACAAUGGUAUUCAUGAUGGGAAGAUAAUUCUAGGAGAGUUAUAAUAUGGAGUAUGAAAACAAUUAUAGGAAUGAGCUCUGAGGUUAUUUAGUCUGGUCCCCUCAUGUACUGAUAACUAAGAAAUAAGAGUAGACUACAUUAACUGAAGAGUUCUAGGUACAUCCCCAAAACUAACCCCAAACCCAGUGUCUUAGUCCAUUUGCAUUGCUAUAAAGGAAUACCUGAGGCUGGGUAAUUUAUAACAAAAAGAGGUUUAUUUGGAACAUAGUUCUGCAGGCUGUACAAGAAGUAUAGCACUCUAUUCUGCUUCUAGCAGGGACUUCAGGAAGCUUCCAGUCAUGGCAGAAGGGGGAAGGGGAGCUGGUAUGUAAAGAUCACAUGGCAGGAAGUGAGAGAUAGAGAGAGAGAAAGAGUGAGAAAGAGAGAGAAAUAGGCAGGGGAGAAGGGAGGCACUGAAUAGGAUGCCAGACUCUUUUUGACAACCAGAUCUCCCCAAAACUAAGAGCAAGAACUCAAUCCCAUACGAAUGGCACCAAGCCAUUCAUGAGGGAUCCGCCCCUAAGACCCAAACACCUCCCACUAGACCCCAUCUCCAACACUGGGGAUCAAAUUUCAAAAUGAGAUUUGGAGAGGACAAAUAUCCAAGCUAUAUUACCUAGUAUUCCUCAGGUCACAAAAACAUUUUUUGUUUUUCUUCUAAGAGCCAAACUAGGACACGAACUAGGAAGUUUCUUCUCUCAUUACUCUCCAAAGACAUACCCACCCAGUGUAAGUCAAGAAAAACCAACCAACUAAAUUAAAACAUGCAGAGCUAAGGUGAAGGGAAGACUAAAGAAGGGACCGAGGAGAUAAAUUUUUGUGAUAUUUAGAACCAUUCCAUUUUGUGGGGGAGGGGUAGUUUUAUUUUGUUUUAACUAUUACUCAUCCUAGAAAAUUCCUGCUUUGAGAAUGGGGAUAUAAUUUCUAUAAAGCUCAGUAACCAAAUGGCAGAAAGGCUAGCAUUCUAUCAGGGCCUCAAUAGCCCAUACAUGCGGGCAUUAGAGAAGGCGCCCUCUCCUUCAUUAAGCAGGUGCAGAGCUUGAUAAGGGGAGCUUGACUAGAUUUCAGCCCUCUUCAUUCCCUUCACUAGGGGCCUUUGUGCAAGGCACACAGUGCAUAAAUGUACAUAGUAGCACUAUUUUCUGGAGUAGAAAAAUCUUGGGAUUUCCCAAAGCUGUUCACCCCAACUCAGAACUGGAACACCAUGUGUAAAGUCAGGAAAAUUCAUUCUGCCAGAAGCUUUUUUUCAUUACUGACAUCCUAGACUGUUGGUACAAUAAUCUUAAUCAUCUGACCUUUUAGAGGCAAUUUCCUGAUCUUGGCUGGACAGACCAGUCUAAAUGCUCCAUUUGGCCCUAUUUUUAAAUUGCCCAGAUGGUGUGACUGGGUGUGUGGCUUAGGGUGCCCCCAUAUGCUGGGCUGCUUCCAGGAACGAUUUGUACCUUGGGUAUAACAAGACUGGAGUGAGGAAUGGGGGCAAGGGAUGGUAAGGGUUAGGUCGGUGCCUUUCUGAUCUGAGUAAUACUGAUUUCAUCAGCUACUUGUGAAAUGCUGAGCCUUAAUGUAGAUUCAUGAGAUAGGUAGAAAGUAGGAGGCCAAUUCUGAGACAGCUGCUUCUGAUCUCUACCCACCCAGAGUUGGAUUUGGAUGUACUACAUAGGGAAGAAUUAGCAGGGAAGUCAAGCCUGUUCAUCACAUUGGACACAGACCAUUUUCUGCCCCCUUCCUUCUGUGCAUUUGUUUCCUGGCCGGGCGCGGUGGCUCAUGCCUAUAAUCCCAGCAC
RNAcentral lists this long non-coding RNA (2123 nucleotides) under Homo sapiens (human). RNAcentral's name for it is "HSALNT0046076". The record is from RNAcentral. Lineage: Eukaryota; Metazoa; Chordata; Mammalia; Primates; Hominidae.